RNAcentral lists this ribosomal RNA (421 nucleotides) under uncultured bacterium. RNAcentral's name for it is "partial 16S ribosomal RNA". It matches the Rfam family "Bacterial small subunit ribosomal RNA", at positions 360 to 773 of the family's 1533-position model. The record is from RNAcentral.
AAUAUUGGACAAUGGGGGCAACCCUGAUCCAGCCAUGCCGCGUGUGUGAAGAAGGUAUUCGGCUUGUAAAGCACUUUAAUUUGGGAGGAAGGGCUUUAGGGUAAUACCCUGAAGGUUUGCCGUUACCAACAGAAUAAGCCACGGCUAACUUUGUGCCAGCCGCCGCGGUAAUACAGAGGGUGAAAGCGUUAAUCGGAAUUACUUGGCGUAAAGCGCGCGGAGGUGGUUCAGUAAGAUGGGUGUGAAAUCCCCGGGCUUAACCUAGGAACUGCUUUCAUAACUGCUGAGCUAGAGUACAGUAGAGGGUAGUGGAAUUUCCUGUGUAGCGGUGAAAUGCGUAGAUAUAGGAAGGAACACCAGUGGCGAAGGCGACUACCUGGACUGAUACUGACACUGAGGUGCGAAAGCGUGGGGAGCAAAC